CAUGGCUCAGGAUGAACGCUAGCUACAGGCUUAACACAUGCAAGUCGAGGGGAAACGACAUCGAGAGCUUGCUUUUGAUGGGCGUCGACCGGCGCACAGGUGAGUAACGCGUAUCCAACCUGCCCACCACUUGGGGAUAACCUUGCGAAAGUAAGACUAAUACCCAACGAUAUCUCUAGAAGACAUCUGAAAGAGAUUAAAGAUUUAUCGGUGAUGGAUGGGGAUGCGUCUGAUUAGCUCGUUGGCGGGGUAACGGCCCACCAAGGCAACGAUCAGUAGGGGUUCUGAGAGGAAGGUCCCCCACAUUGGAACUGAGACACGGUCCAAACUCCUACGGGAGGCAGCAGUGAGGAAUAUUGGUCAAUGGACGAGAGUCUGAACCAGCCAAGUAGCGUGCAGGAUGACGGCCCUAUGGGUUGUAAACUGCUUUUAUAGGGAAUAAAGUGAGUCUCGUGAGACUUUUUGCAUGUACCUUAUGAAUAAGGACCGGCUAAUUCCGUGCCAGCAGCCGCGGUAAUACGGAAGGUCCGGGCGUUAUCCGGAUUUAUUGGGUUUAAAGGGAGCGUAGGCCGGAGAUUAAGCGUGUUGUGAAAUGUAGACGCUCAACGUCUGCACUGCAGCGCGAACUGGUUUCCUUGAGUACGCACAAAGUGGGCGGAAUUCGUGGUGUAGCGGUGAAAUGCUUAGAUAUCACGAAGAACUCCGAUUGCGAGGGCAGCUCACUGGAGCGCAACUGACGCCGAAGCUCGAAAGUGCGGGUAUCGAACAGGAUUAGAUACCCUGGUAGUCCGCACGGUAAACGAUGGAUGCCCGCUGUUGGUCUGAAUAGGUCAGCGGCCAAGCGAAAGCAUUAAGCAUCCCACCUGGGGAGUACGCCGGCAACGGAACAACUCAAAGGAAUUGACGGA
This 908-nucleotide ribosomal RNA is filed under the name uncultured Bacteroidota bacterium. RNAcentral's name for it is "bacterial SSU rRNA". It matches the Rfam family "Bacterial small subunit ribosomal RNA", at positions 18 to 917 of the family's 1533-position model. The record is from RNAcentral. Lineage: Bacteria; Pseudomonadati; Bacteroidota.